CCUACGGGUGGCAGCAGUAGGGAAUUUUCGGCAAUGGGGGGAACCCUGACCGAGCAACGCCGCGUGAACGAAGAAGUUAUUCGUAAUGUAAAGUUCUUUUAACAGGGAAGAAAGAGAAAUUUGAUGGUACCUGAAGAAUAAGCUCCGGCUAACUACGUGCCAGCAGCCGCGGUAAUACGAAGGGAGCGGGCGUUAUCCGGAAUUAUUGGGCGAAAAGGGUGCGUAGAUGGCUUAGUAAGUCUUUUGUAAAAAUGCUGGCGCAAACCCAGAAGGGCAAAAGAUACUGCAAAGCUGGAGUAUGACAGAGGCAGGUGGAACUACAUGUGUAGCGGUAAAAUGCGUAGAUAUAUGGAAGAACACCAGUGGCGAAGGCGGCUUGCUGGAUCGAUACUGACGUUGAGGCACGAAAGCGUGGGGAGCAAACAGGAUUAGAUACCCGUGUAGUC
This 446-nucleotide ribosomal RNA is filed under the name uncultured bacterium. RNAcentral's name for it is "partial 16S ribosomal RNA". It matches the Rfam family "Bacterial small subunit ribosomal RNA", at positions 338 to 795 of the family's 1533-position model. The record is from RNAcentral.